UGGUGUAGUGGUGUGUUCUGGACCCGAAGCGGAGUGAUCUACCCAUGGCCAGGGUGAAGCGCGGGUAAGACCGCGUGGAGGCCCGAACCCACUUAGGUUGAAGACUGAGGGGAUGAGCUGUGGGUAGGGGUGAAAGGCCAAUCAAACUCCGUGAUAGCUGGUUCUCCCCGAAAUGCAUUUAGGUGCAGCGUCACAUGUUUCUUGUUGGAGGUAGAGCUACUGGAUGGCCGAUGGGCCCCACAGGGUUACUGACGUCAGCCAAACUCCGAAUGCCGACAAGUCCAAGAGUGUGGCAGUGAGACGGCGGGGGAUAAGCUCCGUGCGUCGAGAGGGAAACAGCCCAGAUCGCCGGCUAAGGCCCCUAAGCGUGUACUAAGUGGAAAAGGAUGUGCAGUCGCGAAGACAACCAGGAGGUUGGCUUAGAAGCAGCCACCCUUGAAAGAGUGCGUAAUAGCUCACUGGUCAAGUGAUUGUGCGCCGAUAAUGUAGCGGGGCUCAAGUACACCGCCGAAGCCGCGGCAACGAUUUAUCGUUGGGUAGGGGAGCGUCCUGCAUCCGGUGAAGCAGCAGAGUGAUCUAGCUGUGGAGGGUGUGGGAGUGAGAAUGCAGGCAUGAGUAGCGAAUAGGCAAGUGAGAACCUUGCCCGCCGAAAGACCAAGGGUUCCUGGGCCAGGCCAGUCCUCCCAGGGUGAGUCGGGACCUAAGGCGAGGCCGACAGGCGUAGUCGAUGGACAACGGGUUGAUAUUCCCGUACCCGUGUAUGUGCGUCCCUGAUGAAUCCAUUGUGCUAACCAUCCAAAACCGUCGUGACUGAUCCCUUCGGGGUGAGGCGUUGACGGGGCUGCGUGGGACCCCGGUGGGUAGUAGUCAAGCGAUGGGGUGACGCAGGAAGGUAGCCGUACCAGUCAGUGGUUGUACUGGGGUAAGCCUGUAGGGAGAAACGUAGGCAAAUCCGCGUUUCACAUAUCCUGAGAGGUGAUGCAUAGCCGUUUGAGGCGAAUUCGGUGAUCCUAUGCUGCCAAGAAAAGCCUCUAGCGAGGACAUACACGGCCCGUACCCCAAACCAACACAGGUGGUCAGGUAGAGAAUACUAAGGCGUACGAGUGAACUAUGGUUAAGGAACUCGGCAAAAUGCCCCCGUAACUUCGGGAGAAGGGGGACCCCCAUAUCGUCANNNNNNNNNNNNNNNNNNNNNNNNNNNNNNNNNNNNNNNNNNNNNNNNNNNNNNNNNNNNNNNNNNNNNNNNNNNNNNNNNNNNNNNNNNNNNNNNUCAAGGCUCUUGCGGCCGGCAGCGGGAGGGGGUGGCACAAACCAGUGAGAAGCGACUGUUUACUAAAAACACAGGUCCGUGCGAAGUCGCAAGACGAUGUAUACGGACUGACGCCUGCCCGGUGCUGGAAGGUUAAGAGGACCUGUUAACCCUUCGGGGUGAAGCAGAGAAUUUAAGCCCCAGUAAACGGCGGUGGUAACUAUAACCAUCCUAAGGUAGCGAAAUUCCUUGUCGGGUAAGUUCCGACCUGCACGAAUGGCGUAACGACUUCUCAACUGUCUCAACCAUAGACUCGGCGAAAUUGCACUACGAGUAAAGAUGCUCGUUACGCGCGGCAGGACGAAAAGACCCCGGGACCUUCACUACAACUUGGUAUUGGUGCUCGAUACGGUUUGUGUAGGAUAGGUGGGAGACUGUGAAGCAGCCACGCCAGUGGUUGUGGAGUCGUUGUUGAAAUACCACUCUGAUCGUAUUGGGCCUCUAACCUCGGACCGUAUAUCCGGUUCAGGGACAGUGCCUGGUGGGUAGUUUAACUGGGGCGGUUGCCUCCCAAAAUGUAACGGAGGCGCCCAAAGGUUCCCUCAACCUGGACGGCAAUCAGGUGUUGAGUGUAAGUGCACAAGGGAGCUUGACUGCGAGACGUACAUGUCGAGCAGGGACGAAAGUCGGGACUAGUGAUCCGGCACCUCUGAGUGGAAGGGGUGUCGCUCAACGGAUAAAAGGUACCCCGGGGAUAACAGGCUGAUCUUCCCCAAGAGUCCAUAUCGACGGGAUGGUUUGGCACCUCGAUGUCGGCUCGUCGCAUCCUGGGGCUGGAGCAGGUCCCAAGGGUUGGGCUGUUCGCCCAUUAAAGCGGCACGCGAGCUGGGUUUAGAACGUCGUGAGACAGUUCGGUCUCUAUCCGCCGCGCGCGUCAGAAGCUUGAGGAAAUCUGUCCCUAGUACGAGAGGACCGGGACGGACGAACCUCUGGUAUACCAGUUGUUCCACCAGGAGCACCGCUGGAUAGCCACGUUCGGACAGGAUAACCGCUGAAAGCAUCUAAGCGGGAAACCCCCUCCAAGACCAGGCUUCUCACCCUUUUAGAGGGAUAAGGCCCCCCGCAGACCACGGGAUUGAUAGACCAGACCUGGAAGCCUAGUAAUAGGUGCAGGGAACUGGCACUAACCGGCCGAAAACUUACAACAACC
This 2459-nucleotide ribosomal RNA is filed under the name Mycolicibacterium fortuitum. RNAcentral's name for it is "partial 23S ribosomal RNA". It matches the Rfam family "Bacterial large subunit ribosomal RNA", at positions 692 to 2925 of the family's 2925-position model. Lineage: Bacteria; Bacillati; Actinomycetota; Actinomycetes; Mycobacteriales; Mycobacteriaceae. The record is from RNAcentral.